This is a long non-coding RNA of Micropterus dolomieu (smallmouth bass), 383 nucleotides long. RefSeq lists it as uncharacterized. The transcript is spliced from 2 exons. Lineage: Eukaryota; Metazoa; Chordata; Actinopteri; Centrarchiformes; Centrarchidae. The record is from RefSeq and is a predicted model, not a curated record.
ACCUAACGACUGGCGACUGCUAAUCAACCGCUGAUUUACUCCCGAUCACAGACUGACGGUUUCUGAGCGGCAAAUCGGGCUAAAAAAAAUCAUGUAGUGUGAACUUGGCUUUACAGGCAAAAGUCAGUUUUAAGGGCAGGACCAGUGAAGGUAAAAGCCCUCUGUAACGAUGUCUCUUACUCCUCCCGUGUUACCACUUCCCGGGGAUUGGCACCCCGCAUUCAUACCAGCCCACGAAUGGAUGGGGUGUACGUCGGCCAAUGACUCCAUAUGUAACUGGUUCCUGUCUGUAUGCACGAUAAAAUCCUGCAAAAGAAACAAAUGUUCGUGGCCAUUCACAGAAUUGUAUCAGGAGACUUGAUUACAAUAAAGAGUGAGCAUGA